Molecule: long non-coding RNA, 208 nt
Filed under: Ananas comosus (pineapple)
Lineage: Eukaryota; Viridiplantae; Streptophyta; Magnoliopsida; Poales; Bromeliaceae
Description: long non-coding RNA (ACOM_LNC039391)
Source: RNAcentral
UCCAACUUCGGGUAAGCAGGAAUUUCAGCUUGGAAUUAAAUCUUGCGAGAAUUCGACUAUUAUAGCUUAUAAUCGACAAUAUUGAUGCCGUUUCGGUAUUGUUCGCAGCGAGAGGGUAUUUGACCCUUGGACCGUCUUCGACUGGCCUUGGAGGACCUUUUGGAAGCUUAACGUGAGGUAUUGAACUAAGCCAAAACAGGGAUUUAAG